AGGCGCGUAGCUCAGUGGUUAGAGCGCCUGCUUGACACGCAGGAGGUCGGUGGUUCGACUCCACUCGCGCCUACCA
RNAcentral lists this transfer RNA (76 nucleotides) under Pseudomonadota bacterium. RNAcentral's name for it is "tRNA-Val". It matches the Rfam family "tRNA". Rfam says of the family: Transfer RNA (tRNA) molecules are approximately 80 nucleotides in length. The record is from RNAcentral. Lineage: Bacteria; Pseudomonadati; Pseudomonadota. RNAcentral also lists the same sequence under 4 other names.